UAUACAACUGUAUACGCACCUGCCUUGCGGGUCCCUGGUUACACGGACGUUUGCACGCCAUGGACGGAACGAGGCAGAGCCGUGGCUCGACAUGUCGCUGGCGUCCUGAUCCGUGGAUCAGAUCCGGCGCUGGCCGGUAACGGCGGUAGUGACUGGAGUUAAUGCGCUAGAGGGGUUGGUCGUUGGCAGCAUCUACCUCCUACCUCCAGACCUCGCUUCCUCCAUUGCCGAGAGCGGCGACCCCGUGGAGAAAUCUGGUGCAACAAGGCGACGACCCGCUGAGGGAAGCAUGGAAUUCUUGAUGCAGCAGGACUUUGCUAGAAGAGGUGAACGGGAACAACCUGAUCAUGGAGAGGCACCGUGAGGACGCCGCCGGUCGUAGAGCUGCCGGCCAGGACGGUGUCGAGUGCUGAUGGCCAGAUUUGUGCCGAGGGCGCUGAUCCAGGGGCAGGCAGUGCAGACAAACCUCAAGCUUCAGAGCACUCCAUCUAGCAAGUUGACCAAAAAACAUCUGGAUGGACGCAAAGGUCUGAAUUGGGGCUGCCGCACUAGGCAGAGGCGGUUCGGAAUCAGAUAUGGGAAGAGCAGGCUGAACGUCUACCGGACAAUGCAUGCAAGAGAUAGUAUGUGGCUGCACGGGGAAACCAAUAGUUGAAAAUACACACACUUGUCGGUGUGAGUGCCCUGGCCUUACAAGAUUGCUGCGUUCGAAGGACAAUGGGUGGUACAUAGCGGAGCAUCGUGAUGAGCACAACCAUUUGUUGUCCCCCUCCUAUGGACACACAAUACACUGGCCAUCGCACAAGCAUAUCAACAUGUACAGCAGGGAUCUAGUUAAGCAAUUGUGGCAGAACAGUUAACCUUGCAAAGGUGUACAGCAUAACUGGGAGCUUCUUUGGCAGGAUGGAAAAUGUACCAGUUCACGAAAAGAGCAUUGCGUAGUCUGUGUGGCAAAAUUAGUCGUGAGCAAGCAGAAGAUGACGCCAGGAAAGCAAAAGCAAAGGUGUACAGCAUAAUUGCUUCCAGGAACUAUGCUCAAAGGAUCCACAGUUCACAUGUCGAGUUCAGGCGGACAAAGAAGGAAGGAUCAACACUGUAAUGUGGGCAACUGGCAGCAGCAAAUUGCAGUACAACUUCUUCCGAGAUGUAGUAACAUUUGAUACAACCUACAGGGCCAAUCUAUAUGACAUGCGGUUUGGUCUUUUUGUGGCUGUUAACAACCAUUUUCAGAGCAUUAUACUAGCUGGUGUGCUGGUUCGUGAUGAGAAGGUUGAAACAUUUGAGUGGGUUUUCGCAUAAUUUAUCAGGAUAAGGGGCGGUACUGCUCCACAAAAAGGUAUCAUGAUCUGAAUUGCUAUGUGAAUCAUAUUAAAACUUCCUCCUGUAGAUCAUUACAGACCUGACACUGAAAUGAUGUGUUUGAUUUUCAUAUCAAAAUCGAGCAAUGGUAGUAGCAAUAAAAAAUUUGAUGCCAGACACAA
Triticum aestivum (bread wheat) is the source of this 1481-nucleotide long non-coding RNA. RefSeq lists it as uncharacterized. Lineage: Eukaryota; Viridiplantae; Streptophyta; Magnoliopsida; Poales; Poaceae. The record is from RefSeq and is a predicted model, not a curated record. The transcript has 4 exons.